This 2638-nucleotide unclassified non-coding RNA is filed under the name Agrilus planipennis (emerald ash borer). Its description in RNAcentral is "sPRY domain-containing SOCS box protein 3, transcript variant X1". Lineage: Eukaryota; Metazoa; Arthropoda; Insecta; Coleoptera; Buprestidae. The record is from RNAcentral.
GUUGUGAACGAAGAGGAAAACAUGGCUACAAUACAGCAAACCCGACGUAAUAUGCAUGAGUUACCUAUUGAUCGGCUUCCCAUUGUGAAUUGUUGGGAAGGUCCAUCAGAAUGGGAACUGGAUUCUUCAGACAUGAAUACAGAGUCAACCGAAAGACCAUUACGUCAUGGUUGUGACGAUUUAUGGUCGUGGAGUUUAUGGGAAAAAAGUCCAGAAGUAAAAUUAUACGGUAGUUACCUUAGAAUAGCCCAUUUUCACCCUAACUGGAGUAAUGGUACAGCGGGGGUUAUGGGCACAAGGAUUUUAAACAACGGUAGGUAUUUCUGGGAACUAGAAAUUUCCCGAAGAUUAUUCGGGACUAGCAUGAUGAUGGGUAUUGGGACAAAAAAGACACGUCUCCAUGCAGGAGGCUUUAUAAACAUCUUAGGGGAAGAUAACAACAGUUGGGGGUUGUCACAUAAAGGACUCCUUUGGCACGGAGGACGAUCGUAUUUUUAUACGAAACCUUUCAGAGAAAACAGAAGAACAAUCAUAGGCGUACUUUUUGACGGGAUUGCAGGAACUUUGACCUAUUACAAAGACGGUAAAUGUUUAGGGGUAGCCUUCAGGGGUUUGAACGAGAUUGAAGAACCAUUGUAUCCUGCCGUUUCUUCAACUGCGGCGAAAACAGAGAUGUCCUUAGUUACAAUGAAAAGGGAUUUUGUGAAUUUACAGGACAGGUGCAGGGACGUUAUAGUAAAACGAAUCAAGGACAAAAAACACCUGAAACAACUGUAUGUACCACCCAAAAUACGACAUUAUUUAAGUGAAUCGAUAUUAGAAGAAUCGCAAUCUUUACAAUUGGUAAUAGAAAACGGUUUGAGUACCGUUUGAUUUAGGUAACGUUUUAGUCGCAACAUAUCUCAUUCAAAAUCUAAAACGUCAUGUUUUUGUCUACGUACUCUUAUCUGUUUUGUUGAAUAAAAUGUGGUUGGCAAUUCUUGCAAUCGCUAUAUCAGUAAACUAUUGCUAGUUAAUUAAUGUAAUGCACCAGGACCAAUAUGAAAACUUAUUCAAAUCGAAAUUACUAGGAGGGAAAUGUGUAGAAAUCAGAACCAGUGCAAAAUUGUAAAGGUUUUUUAUUAGUUUUAAAACUAAUGUUUCAAAUUCAGAUGUAAUUUUUUAACAAUUAAAUAUCUUUUUCACUAAAACAUAACUUGGAAACGUUUACACUUGAAGACAUGAAAAUUAUAAAUUUAACAUAAAAAACUCUUAUACCUACUCCAAUUUCUAAAUAUAUUAGUUAUUAAAUACUUUAUUGAAUUUAAAUUAUUCUUUGUUCAGUAAUAUACCAGAAUUUUGUCUAAUUAGUAAAAGGUAGAAAGAAUCUUGCCCAAAAAUUAUUGAAUCGCAAAUCAUUUAAAAUGAUUAUGCAUAUAUUUCAGUUUUUUACGUGUUUAAUGGCCAAUAUUUAAAUUACAACCUUUUUUCAUACGAUUUAUCAAUAUAUAAUAGAAUUUUAUAAUUCCUCAUAUCUUAAAUUUUUAAUUAUUAUGGGGAGUCAUGAUUCUCAGGACCUCCAGCGUAUUGACGUCUAGGAUAUAAAUAAUUUUACAUUCAUGAUCUCAUUUUAAUGUAAAUUUAACAGACUUAACUGUAUCGUUUGCAUAAUUAUAAAGUUUUAAAAAAUUUUAAUUAAAUAUUGGAUAUUAUGGGUAGGAUUCUAAACCGAGGACAACAAGCUGGACUAUGUUUAUCCAUAAAUAGCACAAAAACUGCCCGUAUUAUCUCCUUUAAUUACGUAUAAUUCGUAAACCAGAUGUAAGAUAUUUUUGGUCUUAAAAAUUCCACUGAUUUGAUAAAGGCGAGGACAAGUGAAAAGAAGAUUUAUUACUAUAACAAUGUAUUUGUCUUGUGCGUUUAAAUAUUCGUUAUCUCUAUUUUUGUAUACAUAAACUGAAAAUAUGUAUAUUAUUGUGUAUUUCGUGUUAUUAAUAUUAAUAGGUAUGCAUGUAACUAAUUUGUUAUUAACAGCGCAACGACGAACACUAUGUUUGGUUGCAAAAUUAUUUUGCACUAAAAGUUAUGUUUUAAUUAAACAUUGUGUCUGUUGUUGUGUUGUUAAUUAAUGUGGAGUUAAAAAAAAAGUAAAAAGCUUCAUCGAUUCGUUUCUUAAUUUGUUAUUGUUUUAUUUAAAGUGAAGGUGACCUAUGGAGUACCAUUAUUUGUGUAUAUUAGAAUGUGAUGAAAAAUUUUGUACUUGCAUUAAAAAGGUGUAGUUGCAAAUAUAAUAAUGUAUCAUUAUAUGUAUUAAAUUGUAGAUUUGCCAUUAGCUUCUUUCUAUUAACUAAUAAAAUGUUGUAUUACCGAUACUUAAACUUAAAAUUAGUAAAACUUAUUUUUGUGAUGUUUUUAUAAGCCGUGGAUUAAAAAAGUGCCAUAUUAUUGAAUUAUACAUUUAAAUUUUUAUUUCUUAUUACAUUUUGAUCGACAACAAUCUUUAAUGAAGUAAUAUCUUACGUACCUAAAAUAAGUUAAUUUCUCAACAAAAAUUAUUUUUAACAAUAGCACAAGGCACUAAUAGUGUGCAAAGAAAGAAGUGCAACUUGUUCUGCAUUUUUUUUAUGAAAAUGUACAUAUACUUACUUAUUAUUACCUA